RNAcentral lists this ribosomal RNA (774 nucleotides) under uncultured bacterium. Its description in RNAcentral is "bacterial SSU rRNA". It matches the Rfam family "Bacterial small subunit ribosomal RNA", at positions 615 to 1388 of the family's 1533-position model. The record is from RNAcentral.
CAANGUAUGCUUUGGAAACUGUUAGACUUGAGUGCAGAAGGGGAGAGUGGAAUUCCAUGUGUAGCGGUGAAAUGCGUAGAUAUAUGGAGGAACACCGGUGGCGAAAGCGGCUCUNUGGUCUGUCACUGACGCUGAGGCUCGAAAGCGUGGGUAGCGAACAGGAUUAGAUACCCUGGUAGUNCACGCCGUAAACGCUGAGUGCUAGGUGUUAGGUCCUUUCCGGGACUUAGUGCCGACGCUAACGCAUUAAGCACUCCGCCUGGGGAGUACGACCGCAAGGUUGAAACUCAAAGGAAUUGACGGGGGCCCGCACAAGCGGUGGAGCAUGUGGCUUAAUUCGAAGCAACGCGAAGAACCUUACCAGGUCUUGACAUCCCGAUGCCCGCUCUAGAGAUAGAGUUUUACUUUUUGUACAUCGGAGACAGGUGGUGCAUGGUUGUCGUCAGCUCGUGUCGUGAGAUGUUGGGUUAAGUCCCGCAACGAGCGCAACCCUUAUUGUUAGUUGCCAUCAUUAAGUUGGGCACUCUAGCGAGACUGCCGGUAAUAAACCGGAGGAAGGUGGGGAUGACGUCAAAUCAUCAUGCCCCUUAUGACCUGGGCUACACACGUGCUACAAUGGUUGGUACAACGAGUCGCAAGCCGGUGACGGCAAGCUAAUCUCUGAAAGCCAAUCUCAGUUCGGAUUGUAGGCUGCAACUCGCCUACAUGAAGUCGGAAUCGCUAGUAAUCGCGGAUCAGCACGCCGCGGUGAAUACGUUCCCGGGCCUUGUACAC